This 1656-nucleotide ribosomal RNA is filed under the name human gut metagenome. RNAcentral describes it as "bacterial LSU rRNA". It matches the Rfam family "Bacterial large subunit ribosomal RNA", at positions 316 to 1989 of the family's 2925-position model. The record is from RNAcentral.
ACAUGAGGAUAUCUUAAUUGAACCUAACUGGAAAGUUAGACCAUAGAAGGUAAUAGUCCUGUAAGUGAAAAGAGAAACUCAUAGUUCUGCUCCAGAGUACCACGAGACACGUGAAACCUUGUGGGAAGCAGGGAGGACCACCUCCCAAGGCUAAAUACUACCUGAUGACCGAUAGUGAAGCAGUACCGUGAGGGAAAGGUGAAAAGAACCCCGGGAGGGGAGUGAAAUAGAACCUGAAACCGUGUGCCUACAACCGGUCAAAGCCCCUUAUGAGGGUGAUGACGUGCUUUUUGUAGAACGAGCCAACGAGUUACGGUAUGUAGCAAGGUUAAGUACUUAAGGUACGGAGCCGAAGGGAAACCGAGUCUUAAUAGGGCGACUAGUUGCAUGCCGUAGACCCGAAACCGGGUGACCUAUCCAUGGCCAGGUUGAAGCGAGGGUAAAACUUCGUGGAGGACCGAACCACGUUGCUGUUGAAAAAGCAUGGGAUGAGCUGUGGAUAGCGGAGAAAUUCCAAUCGAACUCGGAGAUAGCUGGUUCUCCCCGAAAUAGCUUUAGGGCUAGCGUCGGAUAUGUGUAGUGGAGGUAGAGCACUGAAUGGGCUAGGGGGCAUAUCGCUUACCGAACCUUAUCAAACUCCGAAUGCCAUAUACAUUAAGUCCGGCAGUCAGACUACGAAUGAUAAGAUCCGUGGUCAAAAGGGAAACAGCCCAGACCGUCAGCUAAGGUCCCAAAGUGUAAGUUAAGUGGAAAAGGAUGUGGGAUUUCUAAGACAACUAGGAUGUUGGCUUAGAAGCAGCCACUCAUUUAAAGAGUGCGUAAUAGCUCACUAGUCGAGAGAUCCUGCGCCGAAGAUGUCCGGGGCUAAAACUUACCACCGAAGCUACGGGAUUGCAAUAGCAAUCGGUAGAGGAGCGUCGUAAUCGGGCUGAAGUCGUACCGUAAGGAGCGGUGGACUGAUUACGAGUGAGAAUGUUGGCAUUAGUAGCGAGAUGUAGGUGAGAAUCCUACAGGCCGAAUAUCUAAGGUUUCCUCAGGAAGGUUCGUCCUCUGAGGGUUAGUCGGGACCUAAGCCGAGGCCGAAAGGCGUAGGCGAUGGACAAUCGGUUGAUAUUCCGAUACCACUACCAUCGUUAUUAUCGAGGGUGUGACGGAGAAGGAUAGUGUGUGCUAGCGAUUGGAAAUGCUAGUCUAAGCGUUUAGGGAGUUACGGUAGGCAAAUCCGCUGUAACAAUUCUGAGGCGUGAUGGGGAAGGUCAUUAAGACCGAAGUACAUGAUUCCAUGCUUCCAAGAAAAGCAUCUAGAGAGAGAAGUAGUGCCCGUACCGCAAACCGACACAGGUAGAUGAGGAGAGAAUCCUAAGGCCGGCGGAAGAAUUGCAGUUAAGGAACUAGGCAAAUUGACCCCGUAAGUUCGCGAGAAGGGGUGCCUGCGAGAGCAGGCCGCAGAGAAUAGGCCCAAGCAACUGUUUAGCAAAAACACAGGUCUCUGCUAAAGCGAAAGCUGAUGUAUAGGGGCUGACGCCUGCCCGGUGCUGGAAGGUUAAGGGGAACACUUAGCGCAAGCGAAGGUGUGAACUUAAGCCCCAGUAAACGGCGGCCGUAACUAUAACGGUCCUAAGGUAGCGAAAUUCCUUGUCAGGUAAGUUCUGACCC